RNAcentral lists this ribosomal RNA (300 nucleotides) under Triticum aestivum (bread wheat). RNAcentral's name for it is "partial small subunit ribosomal RNA". The record is from RNAcentral. Lineage: Eukaryota; Viridiplantae; Streptophyta; Magnoliopsida; Poales; Poaceae.
AUGGAGAUAGCAUCCCGUGCACCGGCUGCGAGUGCGACGACGGGUUUGGUUCACGAGGUUAUUGACAUCUCUGAUGAUGAAAGCAAUGAUGAAAUUGAUAUGGAAGAAUGGUCUGAUGAUCCUGAGCACGCUAAGUUGUCUGAGACAGACAGAAAGCUGAGGGAGCAAGAGCUGCAAGAUCCAGAUGUCACGAAAAUGUAUCAAGAAAUGUAUGAUAAAAAUGAUGAUGUUCAGGUUGAUAAAAGUGCGAAUGAGAAUUGCCGUCGCUGGCAGGCAAAUAUCGAAGGACGGGCGUCAUAG